This 253-nucleotide ribosomal RNA is filed under the name uncultured bacterium. RNAcentral describes it as "partial 16S ribosomal RNA". It matches the Rfam family "Bacterial small subunit ribosomal RNA", at positions 524 to 776 of the family's 1533-position model. The record is from RNAcentral.
UACGUAGGGUGCGAUCGUUGUCCGGAAUUAUUGGGCGUAAAGCGCGCGUAGGCGGCUUUGCAAGUCGGAUGUGAAAUCCCCAGGCUCAACCUGGGAACUGCAUUCGAGACUGCUUUGCUAGAGUAUGGGAGAGGGAAGUGGAAUUUCCGGUGUAGCGGCGAAAUGCGUAGAUAUCGGAAGGAACAUCAGUGGCGAAAGCGACUUCCUGGACCAAUACUGACGCUCAUGUGCGAAAGCGUGGGGAGCAAACAGG